UACGGAGGCUCCGAGCGUUAUCCGGAUUUAUUGGGUUUAAAGGGUGCGUAGGCGGCCUAUUAAGUCAGGGGUGAAAGACGGUAGCUUAACUAUCGCAGUGCCUUUGAUACUGAUAGGCUUGAAUGUACUUGAGGUAGGCGGAAUGUGACAAGUAGCGGUGAAAUGCAUAGAUAUGUCACAGAACACCAAUUGCGAAGGCAGCUUACUAAAGUAUGAUUGACGCUGAGGCACGAAAGCGUGGGGAUCAAACAGG
Molecule: ribosomal RNA, 253 nt
Filed under: uncultured bacterium
Lineage: Bacteria
Description: partial 16S ribosomal RNA
Rfam family: Bacterial small subunit ribosomal RNA
Source: RNAcentral